GCAGUCGAGCGGUAAGGCCCUUUCGGGGGUACACGAGCGGCGAACGGGUGAGUAACACGUGGGUGACCUGCCCUCCACUCUGGGAUAAGCCCGGGAAACUGGGUCUAAUACCGGAUAGGACCACUGGAUGCAUGUCUGGUGGUGGAAAGUUUUUUCGGUGGGGGAUGGGCCCGCGGCCUAUCAGCUUGUUGGUGGGGUGAUGGCCUACCAAGGCGGUGACGGGUAGCCGGCCUGAGAGGGCGACCGGCCACACUGGGACUGAGACACGGCCCAGACUCCUACGGGAGGCAGCAGUGGGGAAUAUUGCGCAAUGGGCGGAAGCCUGACGCAGCGACGCCGCGUGGGGGAUGACGGCCUUCGGGUUGUAAACCUCUUUCGCCAGGGACGAAGCUAACGUGACGGUACCUGGAGAAGAAGCACCGGCCAACUACGUGCCAGCAGCCGCGGUAACACGUAGGGUGCGAGCGUUGUCCGGAAUUAUUGGGCGUAAAGAGCUCGUAGGCGGUGUGUCGCGUCGGCCGUGAAAACUUGGGGCUUAACUCUGAGCGUGCGGUCGAUACGGGCAUCACUUGAGUUCGGCAGGGGAGACUGGAAUUCCUGGUGUAGCGGUGAAAUGCGCAGAUAUCAGGAGGAACACCGGUGGCGAAGGCGGGUCUCUGGGCCGAUACUGACGCUGAGGAGCGAAAGCGUGGGGAGCGAACAGGAUUAGAUACCCUGGUAGUCCACGCCGUAAACGUUGGGCGCUAGGUGUGGGGACCAUUCCACGCGGAACCUUGAGUUCUGGGCGGCCAAGCGAAAGUGAUAAGUAUCCCACCUGGGGAGUACGUUCGCAAGAAUGAAACUCAAAGGAAUUGACGGGGGCCCGCACAAGCGGUGGAGCAUGUGGUUUAAUUCGAUGAUACGCGAGGAACCUUACCAGGGCUUAAAUGCAUUUUGACAGGGGUAGAGAUACCUUUUCCUUCGGGCAAUUUGCAAGGUGCUGCAUGGUUGUCGUCAGCUCGUGCCGUGAGGUGUCAGGUUAAGUCCUAUAACGAGCGCAACCCCUACCGUUAGUUGCCAGCAUGUCAUGAUGGGGACUCUAACGGGACUGCCGGUGCAAACCGUGAGGAAGGUGGGGAUGACGUCAAAUCAUCACGGCCCUUACGUCCUGGGCCACACACGUGCUACAAUGGCAGGUACAGAGAGCAGCCAUGUCGCAAGGCAGAGCGAAUCUAUAAAACCUGUCACAGUUCGGAUCGGGGUCUGCAACUCGACCCCGUGAAGCUGGAAUCGCUAGUAAUCGGAUAUCAGCCAUGAUCCGGUGAAUACGUUCCCGGGCCUUGUACACACCGCCCGUCAAGCCAUGGAAGCCGGGAGUGCCUGAAGUCCGUCACCGUAAGGAGCGGCCUAGGGCAAGAUUGGUAACU
RNAcentral lists this ribosomal RNA (1406 nucleotides) under Pseudonocardia sp. RNAcentral's name for it is "bacterial SSU rRNA". It matches the Rfam family "Bacterial small subunit ribosomal RNA". The record is from RNAcentral. Lineage: Bacteria; Bacillati; Actinomycetota; Actinomycetes; Pseudonocardiales; Pseudonocardiaceae.